Erinaceus europaeus (western European hedgehog) is the source of this 1148-nucleotide long non-coding RNA. RefSeq lists it as uncharacterized. The record is from RefSeq and is a predicted model, not a curated record. The transcript is spliced from 6 exons. Lineage: Eukaryota; Metazoa; Chordata; Mammalia; Eulipotyphla; Erinaceidae.
CCCAAGUAAUGGCGGUGCAAACGAGGGGCUCCCUGCCGUCUGGUGCAUUGCAGGGAGGUGUGGUCCCACGGCCCCAUCCUGGCUCUUGCCAGCCUUCUCCCUUUUGACUCGUCGUUUCUGCUCCUUCCCUCCAUUGGUUUCACAUCGCGUGUGCCACUGCACCCCCUCUCCCGGUGUGGUUUCCGCGUGGGGAUUAACCUCUGGCCCGCCCCUCAGCCCGCGUGGAGGUGAUUGCUCUGGCUGGGCCUGCUGCUGCCCCACCCCCCAAUCCCGUUCCACUCCCGUGCUUGGUUUUUCUCCUUCUUCGAGUAGACUCCGAUCAACUUCUGCGAGGAAGGAACGAGAGACUUCGACUGCAAGUCAAGUAGAUUGGACUCAGUGGAAACUAUCUUACCUUAUGAAUAUAACAGCAAAUGAAGACUGAAUGAAAUGGCUGAAUUUUCUCAAGAGAAGAAUGCAAACGAAGCAUCAACAGCACGGGGCUACUACAGCAAGGUAACACAAACCAGGUGGCUUAAAACAGCAGACAUUAAAUUGGAUCACCGUUCUGGAGGCUGUAAGUCUGAGAUCAAGGCGUCAGUGACUGCAGCUUUUCUGAAGACUCCGAGGGAGAAUCUGUUCCAGGCCGAUCUUUGAGCUGCUGGCUAUAAACAUUCAGAUGGAAGCCAUCUAGCUUGUACUAGACUUGCUGUGCCUAUUCCUGCAAAGGAUACAGAAAAACUCAAUGUAACUGACUCACACUCUGGAAUUUGAGAACCACUGGAUAUUUCUUCUUCCUGCUUCUGUUUUAUCACCAAAAUCUACAGCCUGGUGAAACGGGACUAUAGAAUUUCUGCAAAGACUUCAUGAUGCAUCAAACUUUAUUUUUGAAUAGCUGUUCCUAUAAGAACAUCUACAGAGAUAAAUAUGUAUGCUUCCAGUACCAUGAUUUUAAAAUAUACAUCAUUUUAAAAUCCUAUUGUCUGACCUCCGUUUGUAAGACACAAAAUUGUGAUAGACUGUAUGGACGACUGGGUUGGGAAACAGGUUUAUUUUAGGUCCUAUUAUUCCUGACAAGAUAGCAUAAAAAUGCCUCAUUUAAAGCAAUUAGAAUAAAGGAGGCCAAUUUGUUUAAAAAAAAAUAAAGUUGAGUGCACUAUUUUUCCUGA